UACGUAGGGUGCAAGCGUUGUCCGGAAUUAUUGGGCGUAAAGAGCUCGUAGGCGGUUCGUCGCGUCGGCUGUGAAAACCUGAGGCUCAACCUCAGGCCUGCAGUCGAUACGGGCGGACUUGAGUACUGCAGGGGAGACUGGAAUUCCUGGUGUAGUGGUGAAAUGCGUAGAGAUCCGGAGGAACCCCAGAGGCGAAGGCGGCGCCCUGGCUCGCAACUGACGCUCAGACACGACAGCAUGGGGAGCGAACGGG
Molecule: ribosomal RNA, 253 nt
Filed under: uncultured bacterium
Lineage: Bacteria
Description: partial 16S ribosomal RNA
Rfam family: Bacterial small subunit ribosomal RNA
Source: RNAcentral